Molecule: ribosomal RNA, 303 nt
Filed under: uncultured bacterium
Lineage: Bacteria
Description: partial 16S ribosomal RNA
Rfam family: Bacterial small subunit ribosomal RNA
Source: RNAcentral
AGCAGCCGCCGCGGUAAUACGAAGGGUGCAAGCGUUAAUCGGAAUUACUGGGCGUAAAGCGUGCGUAGGUGGUGGUUUAAGUCCGUUGUGAAAGCCCUGGGCUCAACCUGGGAAUUGCAGUGGAUACUGGAUCACUAGAGUGUGGUAGAGGAUAGUGGAAUUUCCGGUGUAGCAGUGAAAUGCGUAGAGAUCGGAAGGAACAUCUGUGGCGAAGGCGACUAUCUGGGCCAACACUGACACUGAGGCACGAAAGCGUGGGGAGCAAACAGGAUUAGAUACCCCGGUAGUCCCUGUCUCUUAUAC